This 255-nucleotide ribosomal RNA is filed under the name uncultured bacterium. Its description in RNAcentral is "partial 16S ribosomal RNA". It matches the Rfam family "Bacterial small subunit ribosomal RNA", at positions 524 to 776 of the family's 1533-position model. The record is from RNAcentral.
UACGUAGGGUGCGAGCGUUGUCCGGAAUUAUUGGGCGUAAAGAGCUUGUAGGCGGUUUUGUCGCGUCUGCUGUGAAAAUCCGGGGCUCAACCCCGGACUUGCAGUGGGUACGGGCAGACUAGAGUGUGGUAGGGGAGACUGGAAUUCCUGGUGUAGCGGUGGAAUGCGCAGAUAUCAGGAGGAACACCGGUGGCGAAGGCGGGUCUCUGGGCCGAUACUGACGCUGAGGAGCGAAAAGCGUGGGGAGCGAACAGG